CCCGACUGCUAUGGGGAUGGGACUAAGCCAUGUUAGUCUUGUGCUUCAGGCUAUGUUGAAGCACGGCGGACGGCUCCGUAGAACGUGGCCAACCUACCCUCAGGAUGGGAAUAACCCCGGGAAACUGGGGAUAAUUCCCAAUAGAAGAAAGGACCUGGAAUGGCCUUUCUUCCAAAGAUGUUAAGAUCAUGCCUCUUAAUAUCGCCUGAGGAUGGAGCCACGGCCCAUCAGGUAGUUGGUGGGGUAACUGCCUACCAAGCCUAUAACGGGUACGGGCCGUGAGAGCGGGAGCCCGGAGAUGGGCACUGAGACAAGGGCCCAGGCCCUACGGGGUGCAGCAGGUGCGAAAACUACACAAUGCGCGAAAGCGCGAUGUGGCUAUCCCCAGUGCUAUCCGCUAAGGAUAGCUUUUCCUUGGUGUAAGGAGCCAAGGGUAAUAAGCGGGGGGUAAGUCUGGUGUCAGCCGCCGCGGUAAUACCAGCUCCGCGAGUAGUCGGGAAGUUUAUUGGGCCUAAAGCGUCCGUAGCCGGCUUAAUAAGUCCUUGGCUAAAACUCAGAGCUCAACUUUGAGAUGGCUAAGGAUACUGUUAGGCUAGGGGGCGGGAGAGGCCGAGGGUACUUCCGGGGUAGGGGCGAAAUCCUAUAAUCCCGGGAGGACCACCAGUGGCGAAGGCGCUCGGCUGGAACGCGCCCGACGGUGAGGGACGAAAGCCGGGGGAGCGAAGGGGAUUAGAUACCCCCGUAGUCCCGGCUGUAAACAAUGUAGGCUAGGUGUUAGGUGGGCUUCGGGCCCACCUAGUGCCGCAGCGAAGGUGUUAAGCCUACCGCCUGGGGAGUACGGCCGCAAGGCUGAAACUUAAAGGAAUUGGCGGGAGAGCACCACAAGGGGUGAAGCCUGC
RNAcentral lists this ribosomal RNA (899 nucleotides) under uncultured archaeon. RNAcentral's name for it is "bacterial SSU rRNA". It matches the Rfam family "Archaeal small subunit ribosomal RNA", at positions 21 to 898 of the family's 1478-position model. The record is from RNAcentral.